This 476-nucleotide ribosomal RNA is filed under the name uncultured Photobacterium sp. RNAcentral's name for it is "bacterial SSU rRNA". It matches the Rfam family "Bacterial small subunit ribosomal RNA", at positions 62 to 527 of the family's 1533-position model. The record is from RNAcentral. Lineage: Bacteria; Pseudomonadati; Pseudomonadota; Gammaproteobacteria; Vibrionales; Vibrionaceae.
UCGAGCGGUAACAGGAAUUAGCUUGCUAAUUCGCUGACGAGCGGCGGACGGGUGAGUAAUGCCUGGGAAUAUGCCUUAGUGUGGGGGAUAACUAUUGGAAACGAUAGCUAAUACCGCAUAACGUCUUCGGACCAAAGAGGGGGACCUUCGGGCCUCUCGCGCUAAGAUUAGCCCAGGUGGGAUUAGCUAGUUGGUGAGGUAAAGGCUCACCAAGGCAACGAUCCCUAGCUGGUCUGAGAGGAUGAUCAGCCACACUGGAACUGAGACACGGUCCAGACUCCUACGGGAGGCAGCAGUGGGGAAUAUUGCACAAUGGGGGAAACCCUGAUGCAGCCAUGCCGCGUGUAUGAAGAAGGCCUUCGGGUUGUAAAGUACUUUCAGUCGUGAGGAAGGUAAUGUAGUUAAUAGCUGCAGUGCUUGACGUUAGCGACAGAAGAAGCACCGGCUAACUCCGUGCCAGCAGCCGCGGUAAUACG